Molecule: ribosomal RNA, 484 nt
Filed under: uncultured bacterium
Lineage: Bacteria
Description: partial 16S ribosomal RNA
Rfam family: Bacterial small subunit ribosomal RNA
Source: RNAcentral
AUUGAACGCUGGCGGCAUGCCUAACACAUGCAAGUCGAACGGCAGCGCGGGCUUCGGCCUGGCGGCGAGUGGCGAACGGGCGAGUAAUGCAUCGGAACGUGCCCAGCAGUGGGGGAUAGCCCGGCGACAGCCGGAUUAAUACCGCAUACGACCAGAGGGUGAAAGCGGGGGACCGAAAGGCCUCGCGCUAUUGGAGCGGCCGAUGUCGGAUUAGCUAGUUGGUGGGGUAAAGGCUUACCAAGGCGACGAUCCGUAGCUGGUCUGAGAGGACGACCAGCCACACUGGAACUGAGACACGGCCCAGACUCCUACGGGAGGCAGCAGUGGGGAAUUUUGGACAAUGGGGGCAACCCUGAUCCAGCCAUGCCGCGUGCGUGAAGAAGGCCUUCGGGUUGUAAACCGCUUUUGUUCGGGAAGAAAUCCUCUGGGCUAAUACCCCGGGGGGAUGACGGUACCGGAAGAAUAAGCACCGGCUAACUACGUG